RNAcentral lists this ribosomal RNA (447 nucleotides) under uncultured bacterium. RNAcentral describes it as "bacterial SSU rRNA". It matches the Rfam family "Bacterial small subunit ribosomal RNA", at positions 355 to 825 of the family's 1533-position model. The record is from RNAcentral.
UCGGGAAUUUUGGGCAAUGGGCGAAAGCCUGACCCAGCAACGCCGCGUGAAGGAUGAAGUAUUUCGGUAUGUAAACUUCGAAAGAAUAGGAAGAAUAAAUGACGGUACUAUUUGUAAGGUCCGGCUAACUACGUGCCAGCAGCCGCGGUAAUACGUAGGGACCAAGCGUUGUUCGGAUUUACUGGGCGUAAAGGGCGCGUAGGCGGUGUGUCAAGUCAGUUGUGAAAUCUCCGAGCUUAACUCGGAACGGUCAACUGAUACUGUCACACUAGAGUACAGAAGGGGCAAUCGGAAUUCUUGGUGUAGCGGUGAAAUGCGUAGAUAUCAAGAGGAACACCUGAGGCGAAGGCGGGUUGCUGGGCUGAUACUGACGCUGAGGCGCGAAAGCUAGGGUAGCAAACGGGAUUAGAUACCCCCGUAGUCCCUGAGCGGGCUGGCAAGGCGCAU